UCUCUGGACCCCUUUACUAUUUUCGUGUCACAUCCUGUCGUACCGAUUCAGGCAAGUUUUGCACUGCAGCACUACUAGUGAUGAAAAUUAGAAUUAAGAAAUAUGGACAGUAUUGCUGCAUUUGCUUCGAGAAUUAUUUAUUGAAUUGAACGUGGUGAUACUUCAUCAAUGAAGGAACAGUGAUUGAUGGAUAUUGAGGUGAAAAAUUCAUUAUAUAUUUGAUUAUUUACAUCUAUUUAAAGUGUGUAACUUCAGAGUUUGAGUGAAUCCUGAAUAGUCAUUUCGCGCGAAACGCGUAAUUACAGCGCUCCAACGGUGAAAAAGGCAAUAUAAUCCUACGAUUCUCAAACCUCGAAUCGAUAUUUCUCAUGAUCGAUUUUUAACCGGCAAACAUGGCGGAAAGGAGCACGCCUCAUCUGUAAAAAAGGAAGCGUUAUUCAGAAAAAUCACCAGAAAGAAUUAUCAUUAAAAAGUUCUCAGGUUAUUCCUUGAUUCCAGAGACAGGAUAGAACACAUAGACGCGACGAUUAUUAAUGGACAAUC
Molecule: long non-coding RNA, 543 nt
Organism: Frieseomelitta varia
Lineage: Eukaryota; Metazoa; Arthropoda; Insecta; Hymenoptera; Apidae
Exons: 3
Source: RefSeq, a predicted model, not a curated record